Molecule: small RNA, 100 nt
Filed under: Pan troglodytes (chimpanzee)
Lineage: Eukaryota; Metazoa; Chordata; Mammalia; Primates; Hominidae
Description: processed transcript
Source: RNAcentral
AGUUCUACGUCAACGAGAACACCUUCAAGGAGCGGCUCAAGCUGUUCUUCAUCAAAAACCAAAGAUCGACUCCCUGCCCCGUUCCCAGCCAGAGCUUGGC